RNAcentral lists this ribosomal RNA (1349 nucleotides) under metagenome. RNAcentral describes it as "bacterial LSU rRNA". It matches the Rfam family "Bacterial large subunit ribosomal RNA", at positions 1564 to 2925 of the family's 2925-position model. The record is from RNAcentral.
UGAGUGCGAGCUUCUACGGAAGCGAAGUUGGUGACGUCAAGCUUCCAAGAAAAGCCCUAUACCCGUUAAGGCAUGAUUACCUGUACCCGAAACCGACACAGGUGGGGUGGUAGAGAAUACCGAGGGGCGCGAGGUAACUCUCUCUAAGGAACUCGGCAAAAUGACCCCGUAACUUCGGGAGAAGGGGUGCCAGCGCGAGCUGGUCGCAGUGAAUAGGCCCAGGCGACUGUUUACCAAAAACACAGGUCUCCGCUAAGUCGCAAGACGAUGUAUGGGGGCUGACGCCUGCCCAGUGCCGGAAGGUUAAAGAAGUUGGUCAGCGCAAGCGAAGCUAACGACUGAAGCCCCGGUGAACGGCGGCCGUAACAAUAACGGUCCUAAGGUAGCGAAAUUCCUUGUCGGGUAAGUUCCGACCCGCACGAAAGGCGUAACGAUCUGGGCGCUGUCUCGGAGAGAGGCUCGGCGAAAUAGAAUUGUCUGUGAAGAUGCGGACUACGUGCACCCGGACAGAAAGACCCUAUGAAGCUUUACUGUAGCUUGGUAUUGUGCUCGGGCUCGCAAUGCGCAGGAUAGGUGGGAGGCUUUGAUCCAUUGCUUGUGGGUGAUGGUGAGCCACUGGUGAGAUACCACUCUUUGCGAGCUAGGGUUCUAACGGUUACCCGUCAUCCGGGAACCGGACAGUAUCUGGUGGGCAGUUUGACUGGGGCGGUCGCCUCCUAAAAGGUAACGGAGGCGCGCAAAGGUUUGCUCAGGCUGGUUGGAAAUCAGCCGACGAGUGUAAAAGCAGAAGCAAGCUUGACUGUGAGACCUACAAGUCGAACAGGGAGGAAACUCGGCUUUAGUGAUCCGACGGUUCUGAGUGGAAGGGCCGGCGCUCAACGGAUAAAAGUUACUCUAGGAUAACAGGCUGAUCUCCCCCAAGAGUUCACAUCGACGGGGAGGUUUGGCACCUCGAUGUCGGCUCAUCGCAACCUGGGGCUGAAGUCGGUCCCAAGGGUUGGGCUGUUCGCCCAUUAAAGCGGUACGCGAGCUGGGUUCAGAACGUCGUGAGACAGUUCGGUCCAUAUCCGGUGCAUGCGCAGGAAUAUUGAGAGGAUUUCUCCCUAGUACGAGAGGACCGGGAGGAACGCACCUCUGGUGUACCAGUUAUCGUGCCAACGGUAAACGCUGGGUAGCCAUGUGCGGAGUGGAUAACCGCUGAAAGCAUCUAAGUGGGAAGCCCACCUCAAGAUGAGUAUUCCCAUGGCUUAAGCCAGUAAGGUCACGGGAAGAACACCCGUUGAUAGGCUCUAUGUGGAAGCGCAGUAAUGCGUGAAGCAGAGGAGUACUAAUAGACCGAGGGCUUGACC